Molecule: ribosomal RNA, 915 nt
Filed under: Salmonella enterica subsp. enterica serovar Infantis
Lineage: Bacteria; Pseudomonadati; Pseudomonadota; Gammaproteobacteria; Enterobacterales; Enterobacteriaceae
Also listed under: 8 other names
Description: partial 23S ribosomal RNA
Rfam family: Bacterial large subunit ribosomal RNA
Source: RNAcentral
UAAGCCUGUGAAGGUGUGUCGUGAGGCAUGCUGGAGGUAUCAGAAGUGCGAAUGCUGACAUAAGUAACGAUAAAGCGGGUGAAAAGCCCGCUCGCCGGAAGACCAAGGGUUCCUGUCCAACGUUAAUCGGGGCAGGGUGAGUCGACCCCUAAGGCGAGGCCGAAAGGCGUAGUCGAUGGGAAACGGGUUAAUAUUCCCGUACUUGGUGUUACUGCGAAGGGGGGACGGAGAAGGCUAUGUUGGCCGGGCGACGGUUGUCCCGGUUUAAGCGUGUAGGUGUGUGUUCCAGGUAAAUCCGGUUCACUUUAACACUGAGGCGUGACGACGAGGCACUACGGUGCUGAAGCAACAAAUGCCCUGCUUCCAGGAAAAGCCUCUAAGCAUCAGGUAACAUCAAAUCGUACCCCAAACCGACACAGGUGGUCAGGUAGAGAAUACCAAGGCGCUUGAGAGAACUCGGGUGAAGGAACUAGGCAAAAUGGUGCCGUAACUUCGGGAGAAGGCACGCUGACACGUAGGUGAAGUGAUUUACUCAUGGAGCUGAAGUCAGUCGAAGAUACCAGCUGGCUGCAACUGUUUAUUAAAAACACAGCACUGUGCAAACACGAAAGUGGACGUAUACGGUGUGACGCCUGCCCGGUGCCGGAAGGUUAAUUGAUGGGGUCAGCGCAAGCGAAGCUCCUGAUCGAAGCCCCGGUAAACGGCGGCCGUAACUAUAACGGUCCUAAGGUAGCGAAAUUCCUUGUCGGGUAAGUUCCGACCUGCACGAAUGGCGUAAUGAUGGCCAGGCUGUCUCCACCCGAGACUCAGUGAAAUUGAACUCGCUGUGAAGAUGCAGUGUACCCGCGGCAAGACGGAAAGACCCCGUGAACCUUUACUAUAGCUUGACACUGAACAUUGAGCCUUGAUGUGUAG